GACGAACGCUGGCGGCGUGCUUAACACAUGCAAGUCGAACGGAAAGGCCCUGCUUUUGUGGGGUGCUCGAGUGGCGAACGGGUGAGUAACACGUGAGUAACCUGCCCUUGACUUUGGGAUAACUUCAGGAAACUGGGGCUAAUACCGGAUAGGAGCUCCUGCUGCAUGGUGGGGGUUGGAAAGUUUCGGCGGUUGGGGAUGGACUCGCGGCUUAUCAGCUUGUUGGUGGGGUAGUGGCUUACCAAGGCUUUGACGGGUAGUCGGCCUGAGAGGGUGACCGGCCACAUUGGGACUGAGAUACGGCCCAGACUCCUACGGGAGGCAGCAGUGGGGAAUAUUGCACAAUGGGCGGAAGCCUGAUGCAGCAACGCCGCGUGCGGGAUGACGGCCUUCGGGUUGUAAACCGCCUUCGCCUGUGACGAAGCGUGAGUGACGGUAAUGGGUAAAGAAGCACCGGCUAACUACGUG
RNAcentral lists this ribosomal RNA (468 nucleotides) under uncultured bacterium. RNAcentral describes it as "partial 16S ribosomal RNA". It matches the Rfam family "Bacterial small subunit ribosomal RNA", at positions 28 to 507 of the family's 1533-position model. The record is from RNAcentral.